RNAcentral lists this long non-coding RNA (1866 nucleotides) under Sus scrofa (pig). Its description in RNAcentral is "lncRNA (ENSSSCG00055009493.1)". Lineage: Eukaryota; Metazoa; Chordata; Mammalia; Artiodactyla; Suidae. The record is from RNAcentral.
CCAGGGAAGCAUUGUAGUACUUUACAAGCCUUAAGGUCUCAGGCUCACAGCAGCCCUUUAGGUCAGGAGGCACAAGACCCUACUGGCAGGUCUUUUGAGAGCUCGCCUUCUCCAAAGGGACUCAUUAAAGAUUUUUCUCUGAAGAUCACAUUUCUCUGCCAGAAGGAAAUUCUAACAAAUGCAGUUUUUUUCUUCCUCGUGCUAGAGAGGAAAAGGUGCAGGUAGAGGGAAAUAGGCUUCUUUUCUCACAGUUACAAAAACUAUUAAAACCCUGUUUUCUUCUGAAGGUGCUACCUUCCCGGCCCAGAUGACCUGAAGUCUGUGGGAGAAGCAUCCCAGAGCUAGAUCAAGCCUCCUAAAUGGGGGGACAGUCCCGCUGCUGUCCCCAACAUCCGCAGUUCUGGGAAGAUGCAACACUCCAGACCCUGAGCGCUGGGCCCUGAAAUCGGGCAAGACACUGUUCAUGGCUGAUUGUUUUACACGUGGUAAGAAAGGGCCCCCGUGUGAAACUAGACUGAAAUCUCUUUUGCUUCAAGUUCUGUACUGUUCCUCACUUCCUCUUCUUUACCGGAAUGACUCUCUUUAAACUCACCGAUAAGCCCUUGGCUCCACUAUGUCUUCGCAUUCUUUGCUCUGUUUGGUCCUUUGUGUGUCCCCCCCACAGCUCCCCCACAUGAAAUCAACUAAGUCGGAACCUGCGAACAGUCCGGCUGUCAGGCUGGUCCACCGAUGAUGCUUUGUUAGACUUUUACAGUGUAUUUUUAAACGGUGUCUUUGUUACACACAGGAUAUCAGGAGAUUCUACGUAAUUAGCCUCUCUUUAGAAUUCUCUCAAAAUAUCAGGACGCCUGGCAAGCCAGCGCAUUUUCCCUCAGGGCAGCGAGUAGCUGAAGCUGCCUCUUUCGUCUUAGGACUGGUCAGAUUCGCUGAUUUAUUUCCUCCCUGAAGCCCCGGGAUGGGACCACGAUGCAGAGGAGUGACCAGAGGACCUCGGACAGUAAGUUGCUGCACCAUCUGGAGGAGGGGACAGAGGUCGCUUCGCAUCUGGACACCAAGGGACCUUGCGGCUGGCGUUGGGGACGGGAAACCCCAAGCCGUGAUCUGUGUGGAUGGACGGGGGACCAAGCAGGCAGCACUGGAUGCCAAAGAGUGAACACGUGGUGGCCAAGAUCGGAAGCCCCCAGAGCCUCAGCGUCACCAGGGAAUGGAAUGAGGACAGGAGCACAUUGGGUCGUGGUAUCCAAAGCGUUCAAAGUUGUUUCUGAAGAGGAGCCCAGGCCAUUGCUACCAAGGAGAAACCCAAGCUGCAAAACAGAGAGGAGGAAACACAAGAUAUUACCUGUGACGCGGUAAGAGGGAACACUUUCUUCGGGCACAGAAAUCCCUCCGCUUUUGCUCGAGAAGCAAAUACAGACUCUAAGCUGGCUGCAAAGGCUGCCGGGCUGAGCUGAGCUCCGACGUCCUCCGCCCCCACUCCCCCUUUCCGCCCAUGGGCGCUGCUUCAGCCCCGCGUGCAGCAAGCCCACUUUGGGGCUUUGCCCUUGCCUGGCAUGCUGUGACCUGUGCCUGGGUGGCAGGUGUUCACGGUUGAGGCCUCAGCUUUAAUGUCACCGCCUCGGAAAAGCCUCCUCUGACUGCGCCAUGCUAUAGGCUCUGGGCUUUGGCCUGACCUGCAGUUUAAGCACGAUGCGAAAUCAUCACAUCUGUUUGCCGACUCGUUUACUGUUUUCUGCCCUAGAAAGUUUCAUUAGAGCAGGGUUCCAACCUCCAUUCUGCACUGUAUUCCCAGCACAGGGCACACAGUCGGUCCUCAAUAACUGCGUGUUGGAUGGAUGAAGAAAUAAAUAAAAGAGAGGCUUGUCUACA